Molecule: ribosomal RNA, 777 nt
Filed under: Pantoea stewartii
Lineage: Bacteria; Pseudomonadati; Pseudomonadota; Gammaproteobacteria; Enterobacterales; Erwiniaceae
Description: partial 16S ribosomal RNA
Rfam family: Bacterial small subunit ribosomal RNA
Source: RNAcentral
CGGGGGGGGGCCUAACUUUUGUCAUUUUGGGAGGGGCAACAGAAAAAGUUCGUGUUCUUUGCUCAAGUGGGGGAGAGGUGAGAAUUGUGUGGGGGACUGCCCCUGAGGGAGGGGGAUCCCCUGGGGAAACGGGCUAUAAUACCGCAAAAUCUCACAAGACCAAAGGGGGGGACCUUCGGGCCUCUUGCUUUCAUAUGUGCCCAUAUGGGUUUAUCUUAUGGGGGGGGUAAGGCCCCCCCUAGGCCACUAUCCCUAUCUGGUCUGAGAGGAUGACCACCCACUCUGGAACUGAGACCCGGCCCACACUCCUAGGGGGGGCGGCUGUGGGGAAUUUUGCACUGGGGGCCCACCCCUGAUGCACCCAUGCCGCGUGUAUGAAAAAGGCCUUCGGUUUGUAAAAUACUUUCCGCGGAGAGGAAGGCGGUGAUGUUAAUACCCGUGUCUAUUGCCUUCCCCCGCAAAAAAAGCACCGUCUAUCUCCGUGCCCGCACCCGCGGUAAUACAGAGGGUGCGAGUUUUAAUCAAAUUUACUGGGCGUAAAGCGCACGCACGCGGUCUGUUAAGUCAUAUGUGAAAUCCCCGGGCUCACCCUGGGAUCUGCAUCUGAAACUGGCGCGCUAGAGUCUCGGAGAGGGGUGUAAAAUUCCGUGUGUCGCGGUGAUAUGCAUAGAGAUCUAGAAGAAUACCUGUGGCGAACGCCGCCCUCUAGACUAACACUGACUCUCGUGUGCGAAAGCGUGGAGCGCACAUGAGAUUAUAUACUCUUUCAUCUCCAAA